GAUGAACGCUGGCGGUAUGCUUAACACAUGCAAGUCGAACGGACUCUUCGGAGUUAGUGGCGGACGGGUGAGUAACGCGUGAGAAUCUGGCUUUGGGUUCGGGACAACCACUGGAAACGGUGGCUAAUACCGGAUGUGCCGAGAGGUAAAAGAGAAAUUGCCUGAAGAUGAGCUCGCGUCUGAUUAGCGAGUUGGUGAGGUAAAGGCUCACUAAGGCAGCGAUCAGUAGCUGGUCUGAGGGGAUGACCAGCCACACUGGGACUGAGACACGGCCCAGACUCCUACGGGAGGCAGGAGUGGGGAAUUGUCCGCAAUGGGCGAAAGCCUGACGGAGCAAUACCGCGUGAGGGAAGAAGGCUCUUGGGUUGUAAACCUCUUUUCUUAGGGAAGAACAAAAUGACGGUACCUAAGGAAUCAGCAUCGGCUAACUCCGUG
Molecule: ribosomal RNA, 435 nt
Filed under: uncultured bacterium
Lineage: Bacteria
Description: partial 16S ribosomal RNA
Rfam family: Bacterial small subunit ribosomal RNA
Source: RNAcentral